UACGGUCAUAUCACGCUGAAACACCGACUGUCGUACAAUCACUGAAGUUAAGCAACAUCGAGCCUGGUCAGUACCUAAAUGGGUGACCGCUUUGGAAUACAAGGUACUGU
This is a non-coding RNA of Acanthosepion pharaonis, 110 nucleotides long. NCBI's taxonomy places the organism in Eukaryota, Metazoa, Mollusca, Cephalopoda, Sepiida, Sepiidae. The record is from the annotation of a GenBank genome assembly.